GAGGGUGUAGUUCAGUGGUAGAGCAUGUGCUUUGCAUGCAUGAGACCCUGUGUUCAAUUCUCAGCACCCCA
Molecule: non-coding RNA, 71 nt
Organism: Heterocephalus glaber (naked mole-rat)
Lineage: Eukaryota; Metazoa; Chordata; Mammalia; Rodentia; Bathyergidae
Source: Rfam